UACAGAGGGUGCAAGCGUUAAUCGGAAUUACUGGGCGUAAAGCGCGCGUAGGUGGUUUGUUAAGUUGGAUGUGAAAUGCCCGGGCUUAACCUGGGAACUGCAUUUGUGACUGCAUGGCUAGAGUUUGGCAGAGGGGGGUAGAAUUCCACGUGUAGCAGUGAAAUGCGUAGAUAUGUGGAGGAACACCGGUGGCGAAGGCGGCAUCCUGGACCAAUUCUGACGCUGAGGAGCGAAAGCCAGGGGAGCAAACGGG
This 253-nucleotide ribosomal RNA is filed under the name uncultured bacterium. RNAcentral describes it as "partial 16S ribosomal RNA". It matches the Rfam family "Bacterial small subunit ribosomal RNA", at positions 524 to 776 of the family's 1533-position model. The record is from RNAcentral.